This 1138-nucleotide long non-coding RNA is filed under the name Suricata suricatta (meerkat). RNAcentral's name for it is "lncRNA (ENSSSUG00005013188.1)". Lineage: Eukaryota; Metazoa; Chordata; Mammalia; Carnivora; Herpestidae. The record is from RNAcentral.
CAGUGUAUUUCUAGAAACAAUGACUGCUGAAAUUUAUUUGGAAUUUUUUCCUUUCUGAGCAGUAAUUUCCCUCUGUUGUUCCCAGACCUUUAGCGAAAGCCUGUUUCCCACACCAAUCUUAGUGGAUCUUUAUGGUCACAAAUAGUAGUCACAGCUCAUGGUCAGGACCAACAAAGCUUAAGUAGCCACUGGGAGCUAGGUUCUAAGCUGGCUCCUGAGCAGGUAACAGGCUCACUUGCUUUUCUCCAAAUAGCAUCACAUGCCCAGCUGCCAGCGAACAAUACCUUUGUGACCCACUUCUGCCUCCUGGCCUCCUGGCCCUUCCCAGCCCGGCAUCCCAGUGUGUCAGAGCCAGGAACCAGAGGGCAGUGGUACAGCAGUCAGUAGGGCUGAGGGAGUAGAGACUGUUAGUGUAGACAAUUCUUGGUUGAGAAGGGGAGGAGCAACAGGCCAGCUGCAGGUGAUGUAAAGAGUUAGGGGGCUUUUUUCUUCUGUGGGAGAGGAGCCUGCUUCCCUCACCUUUCUGCUCCACCAUGGAAACCAUCCCAUCUCUGUUCUCCUCGGUCUCCAGGAGACUUUGGGGGUAGGGGUGGAGGAGUAGAUUCUGGACCCCUCCUCAGAACUUUAGUUUCUAGGCCGUAUCUAUGGCCCUCCCUCUCCCUAUCAUUAAAGGGGUCAGGGUCCUCUGCCUUCUCCCAGUUGUCUCAGACCUGGAUCCUCUGCGGGCAGUGAGCCACACACUUGGAGCUCCAUUAUAGAAGUCACCGUCCUUGCCUCAGUUUCCUCAUGGGUAAAGUGAGAGUUUAACAGCAGGAACUCCCAGAGCUCCUUGUCAGCGACUCAGGACAAGGAGGGACUCAGUGGGACAAGAGUGCAAGAUCUACAUCUCCCUCUUCUUCAAACAAGCUCCAUGUGCUUGGAUCUGGGCCUUGGAUCUACAGAUUGUGUGUACUUUGUAUUUGUUGAGCACCUGCUGUGUGUCAGGCCCUCUAGCAGCUGAGACCCAGAGAUGCGCAAGGCAGAGGGGUCCUGGCCGUCAUGGAGCUCACAGCCUAAUGAGGAAGAUGAACAAUAAGCAGAAAGAAAAGCAUCCAUCAAAAUAAACAACCAGAAAACAUUGGCUGGAGGGAUGUGCUGU